This 29-nucleotide non-coding RNA is filed under the name Mus musculus (house mouse). Lineage: Eukaryota; Metazoa; Chordata; Mammalia; Rodentia; Muridae. The record is from RNAcentral.
UUCAAAGACACUGCUUAUCUAAUAGGGGA